This 387-nucleotide ribosomal RNA is filed under the name uncultured bacterium. Its description in RNAcentral is "bacterial SSU rRNA". It matches the Rfam family "Bacterial small subunit ribosomal RNA", at positions 30 to 415 of the family's 1533-position model. The record is from RNAcentral.
AUUGAACGCUGGCGGCAUGCUUUACACAUGCAAGUCGAACGGCAGCACGGGUGCUUGCACCUGGUGGCGAGUGGCGGACGGGUGAGUAAUACAUCGGAACGUGUCCUGAAGUGGGGGAUAACGCAUCGAAAGAUGUGCUAAUACCGCAUAUUCUCUGAGGAGGAAAGUAGGGGAUCGAAAGACCUUAUGCUUUUGGAGCGGCCGAUGUCUGAUUAGCUAGUUGGUAAGGUAAUGGCUUACCAAGGCGACGAUCAGUAGUUGGUCUGAGAGGACGACCAGCCACACUGGGACUGAGACACGGCCCAGACUCCUACGGGAGGCAGCAGUGGGGAAUUUUGGACAAUGGGCGCAAGCCUGAUCCAGCAAUGCCGCGUGAGUGAAGAAGGC